Molecule: small RNA, 860 nt
Filed under: Pan troglodytes (chimpanzee)
Lineage: Eukaryota; Metazoa; Chordata; Mammalia; Primates; Hominidae
Description: retained intron
Source: RNAcentral
ACGGACAUGGUGGCCGAGACCGGUGGGGUGGGGGACGUGUCGCGCGGCCGGGUGGCCUCGGUCGGUACCCUGGGCGCGGAGCAGCUGCCUCAUUAGUAUUCGUACCCACGAGGCGGCGCAGCGGGCCCUCGGGGAGAGCGAGCGUCGCGGCCAUGGCUUAUCACUCGGGCUACGGAGCCCACGGCUCCAAGCACAGGGCCCGGGCAGCCCCGGAUCCCCCUCCCCUCUUCGAUGACACAAGCGGUGGUUAUUCCAGCCAGCCCGGGGGAUACCCAGCCACAGGAGCAGACGUGGCCUUCAGUGUCAACCACUUGCUUGGGGACCCAAUGGCUAAUGUGGCUAUGGCCUAUGGCAGCUCCAUCGCAUCCCAUGGGAAGGACAUGGUGCACAAGGAGAACUGGGAAGUGCAGUACAGUCGUGAUGCUCCUCUGCCCCCCCGGCAAGACCUCAACGCCCCUGACCUCUAUAUCCCCAGUGAGUCUCCAACCUGGGCUGGGGAACGUGGUGGGGUGGGGUCGGGGGGGACUUGUGCCUUGAGGGAUGAAUGGGAAGAGAAGCUCAGCUACUGAGUCAGCAUCUGUUCUUGGUGCUUUGUGUAUGUGUGGCAGUUGCAAGACACCAGGCAGGCAGUGCAGGGUGACCAGUAAGGAGCUUCCUGAAUGUGCCUUCAGUGUCCCCAGGACACCCUUUUGAGACCUUCCUGUCUCUUGAUUUGGACUAUAUCCCUCCCCAGCCUGGAGCUCUGGGUUUAGACCUGGCUUUGCAGACUCCAGCUAUGGGAUUUCAGGCUGGUUAUUUGUACUUUUCAGUAAAACAGGACUAAUGUAGUCCCUACCCCAAAGGACUGUUGGAGAGAUUCA